GCAAGUCUGGUGCCAGCAGCCGCGGUAAUUCCAGCUCCAAUAGCGUAUAUUAAAGUUGUUGCAGUUAAAAAGCUCGUAGUUGAAUUUUAGGCCCGGUUGGACGGUCUGCCUUUGGGUUUGUACUGUCCUGACUGGGCCUUACCUUCUGGUGAGCUGUCGUGUUGUUUACUCAGCGCGGCAGGGAACCAGGACUUUUACUUUGAAAAAAUUAGAGUGUUUAAAGCAGGCAUUCGCUUGAAUACAUUAGCAUGGAAUAAUAGAAUAGGACGUGUGGUUCUAUUUUGUUGGUUUCUAGGACCGCCGUAAUGAUUAAUAGGGAUAGUCGGGGGCAUCAGUAUUCAAUUGUCAGAGGUGAAAUUCUUGGAUUUAUUGAAGACUAACUACUGCGAAAGCAUUUGCCAA
This 402-nucleotide ribosomal RNA is filed under the name uncultured fungus. RNAcentral describes it as "SSU rRNA". It matches the Rfam family "Eukaryotic small subunit ribosomal RNA", at positions 555 to 961 of the family's 1831-position model. Lineage: Eukaryota; Fungi. The record is from RNAcentral.